Molecule: small RNA, 77 nt
Filed under: Xanthomonas populi
Lineage: Bacteria; Pseudomonadati; Pseudomonadota; Gammaproteobacteria; Lysobacterales; Lysobacteraceae
Description: sX9 sRNA
Rfam family: Xanthomonas sRNA sX9
Source: RNAcentral
ACGUGCCACGCGGGCGCGCCGGUUUUUUGGAUACCCUCCGCUUCCACCUGAGCAUUGUUCGCGACGUUUUGCCAGCC